RNAcentral lists this unclassified non-coding RNA (218 nucleotides) under uncultured bacterium. RNAcentral's name for it is "contains 16S-23S intergenic spacer region". The record is from RNAcentral.
CGAACAUAUCAACCAUGCAAACAUGGUGCUCCACUCCUGGAACCACACCAUACUCUUGCUUCAUGCUUGCAAAAACUGAACGCCCUUCAUCUAUUAGCCCUGCAUGCGCACAUGCAGAUAACACGGCAACAAAGGUGACACUGUUAGGCACCACCCCACGUGCCUUCAUUCGAUGAAAAACCUCCAUUGCCUCAACACCAUAGCCAUGCAUCCCGUAC